RNAcentral lists this ribosomal RNA (468 nucleotides) under uncultured bacterium. RNAcentral's name for it is "partial 16S ribosomal RNA". It matches the Rfam family "Bacterial small subunit ribosomal RNA", at positions 28 to 507 of the family's 1533-position model. The record is from RNAcentral.
GACGAACGCUGGCGGCGUGCUUAACACAUGCAAGUCGAACGGAAAGGCCCUGCUUUUGUGGGGUGCUCGAGUGGCGAACGGGUGAGUAACACGUGAGUAACCUGCCCUUGACUUUGGGAUAACUUCAGGAAACUGGGGCUAAUACCGGAUAGGAGCUCCUGCUGCAUGGUGGGGGUUGGAAAGUUUCGGCGGUUGGGGAUGGACUCGCGGCUUAUCAGCUUGUUGGUGGGGUAGUGGCUUACCAAGGCUUUGACGGGUAGCCGGCCUGAGAGGGUGACCGGCCACAUUGGGACUGAGAUACGGACCAGACUCCAACGGGAGGCAGCAGUGGGGAAUAGUGAACAAUGGGAGGAAGCGUGAUGCAGCAACGCCGCGUGCGGGAUGACGGCCUUCGGGUUGUAAACCGCUUUCGCAUGUGACGAAGCGUGAGUGACGGUAAUGGGUAAAGAAGCACCGGCUAACUACGUG